This is a non-coding RNA of Camellia sinensis, 434 nucleotides long. The record is from RefSeq and is a predicted model, not a curated record. NCBI's taxonomy places the organism in Eukaryota, Viridiplantae, Streptophyta, Magnoliopsida, Ericales, Theaceae.
CUCUGAAAGACCCACAACCACCAAUGUCCGCCGCAGCCACCAGGUCCGUCUUCCGCUCCACGUCCGCCGCCCGAAGCGCGGGGGCGAGACUUGCCGGCGGAGCUAGCCCAAGGCGGCGAGGUCCCCCUUUCGCAUAACGACGCAGAAACCACUCUCUUCUCGCAUUUUCAGAGAUGAGGUUCGUCUGCGUCGAUUCGUUGCUUCCGUUUCACACUGCCCCUGCCUCUGCAUUGCCCACUUCAAUGCUCUCCGCCACUCCUCGCUGCUACGGUUGGACUCCUGAAGGUCAAGAGGCGAAGACUGUGCAACCGGUUUUGGAAACCCACUGUGAGUAACAUUUCUGUAAAGAUAUGUUAGUAUGAUCUAUGUUUAAAAGUGCUACAUUAUGCUAUGGUUUUGAAUGAUAAAUGUUUUCUGUAAACGAAUGUCCAGUU